UACGAAGGGGGCUAGCGUUGUUCGGAUUUACUGGGCGUAAAGCGCACGUAGGCGGAUAUUUACGUCAGAGGUGAAAUCCCAGGGCUCAACCCUGGAACUGCCUUUGAUACUGGAUAUCUUGAGUAUGGAAGAGGUGAGUGGAAUUCCGAGCGUAGAGGUAAAAUUCGUAGAUAUUCGGAGGAACACCAGUGGCGAAGGCGGCUCACUGGUACAUUACUGACGCUGAGGUGCGAAAGCGUAGGAGCAAACA
Molecule: ribosomal RNA, 250 nt
Filed under: uncultured Bartonella sp.
Lineage: Bacteria; Pseudomonadati; Pseudomonadota; Alphaproteobacteria; Hyphomicrobiales; Bartonellaceae
Description: partial 16S ribosomal RNA
Rfam family: Bacterial small subunit ribosomal RNA
Source: RNAcentral